GUUUAUCAGUUUCUUGCAUGAAUUAAUUCCUGAUCAAUUUUAAAUGGUUACACUAAUUAGAUUUCUAAUUCAUAAUAAAUUAAUAGAUUAAAGAGAAUCAUCAAAAUUAGCAGUUUUGUUAAAGUUUUGUAAGGCCUUAAUUUUUAUCCAUCUCAUUCACCUAUCAAAUGAUUUUUAAUUGAUGUUAAAUUUUAUAUAAAUGAUAUAUAUGAUAAUAACUUUCGAUCCAACAAUGAAUUUUGUUAUGCAGAUAUGGACGUUAAAGAGUUAUCGAAUCUCUAAUGUUACUGAGUUUAAUACUUUGGUGACAUUUGAUCCGGAUUCUUUAUAUUAAUAUGUCUAUUAGUCCAUAUGCCUUGCUUUCUUCACUUCAUGUCUAUCAUUUAUGAGCAAUCAUAUCAAUUAUUUAAUUUUUUCUUGUGUUUCAGACUUGUUUCAGUUUCACAGCAACUUGGUUUUGGCUUUUACAGUUGCAAUGGCAUUGGCUUGCAAUAGCCUCCAAAGCAGCUCUUCUUCACCAAAGAUGAGAUGGAAAUAUGAUGUGUUUGUGAGCUUUAGAGGAGAAGACACUCGCAACAAUUUCACCGAUCACCUCUUUGGCGCUCUUCGUAAGAAAGCUAUUAUUACCUUCAGGGAUGAUACAAAGCUCAAGAAAGGGGAAGAUAUAUCACUUGAGCUUCUACAAGCUAUUGAAGGAUCCCAAAUUUUGAUUGUUAUUUUCUCAACAAACUAUGCUUCUUCCACAUGGUGCUUGCAAGAACUAGCAAAAAUUGCUGCAUGCAUUGAAGUUCCAGGACAAUCUGUUCUACCUAUUUUCUUUGAUGUCAGUCCUUCUGAGGUACGAAAGCAAUGCGGAGAUUAUGAAAAAGCCUUUCAAGGGCAUGAAGAAAGAUUCAAAGCAACUUUAGAGAAAGUGCAAAGAUGGAGAGGAGCUCUAACACAAGUAGCCAAUCUCUCUGGUUGGGACUUAAGGGAUAAGUAAGUACUCUUUUCUAUCUUUGCAACAAGUUGAACUAUUCAAUUAAUUACAAAAGAGUACAUAAUAUUUUCUAGUUUUUUUUUGUUUAGAGCUGUCAUGUGAUGAUUUGGUAUUUCUUUCCUCUGGUCUUUUAGGCCACAAUAUGCAGAGAUUGGAGAAAUUACUAAAAAGGUAACAUGCUUAUUGGGAAAUAAAUCUUCGACUUUACCUAGGGAUAUAGUUGGGAUGCCCUCCAGAGUGGAAGAAUUAGAAAACCAUCUGAAUUUGGACUCAAAUGAUGAUGAUGUUCGAGUAAUAGGGAUUUGUGGAAUGGGUGGAAUAGGAAAGACGACUCUUGCUACUGCUUUGUAUGCUAGAAUCUCUAAUCAAUUUGAUGCUUGCUGCUUUAUUGAUGAUGUAAGUAAAAUUUAUGGAGAUCAUGGCCCAAUUGGAGUACAAAAGCAACUUCUGCGUCAAACUCUAAAUGAAGAAAAUCUUCAAAUAUGCAAUCUUCCUAUGGCUUCUAAUUUGAUUCGAACUAGGCUAUCUCGAAAAUUUAUGGAGAUCAUGGCCCAAUUGGAGUACAAAAGCAACUUCUGCGUCAAACUCUAAAUGAAGAAAAUCUUCAAAUAUGCAAUCUUCCUAUGGCUUCUAAUUUGAUUCGAACUAGGCUAUCUCGAUUAAAAUCCCUUGUUUUUCUUGAUAAUGUGGAUGAAGUUGAACAACUGGAUAAAUUGGAUAUGAGACUAGAAUGGCUAGGCAGAGGGAGUAGAAUAAUCAUAAUUUCUAGAAAUGGGCACAUCUUGACAGAGUAUGGAGUAGAUGAAGUAUACAGAGUUCGACUCUUGGAUCGUAAAUGUGCCCUUCAAUUGUUUUGCCAGAAAGCUUUCAAAAGUGAUGACAUCAUGAGUGGUUACAUAUACUUGACAAAAGAAGUACUAGCAUAUGCCAAUGGCCUUCCACUCGCAAUUAAAGUGUUGGGCUCGUUUCUGUAUGGUCGAGAUGUGUCUGAGUGGAGAAGUGCAUUGUCAAGAUUAAGAGAGAACCCAAGGACAGAUAUUAUGAAUGGACUCCGAAUUAGUUUUGAUGGACUAGAGGAUACAGAAAAGGACAUAUUUCUUGAUAUUGCUUGUUUCUUUCAUGGAUACGGGAAGGGAUACGUGAAGAAAAUUUUAGAUUUUCGUGGAUUUCAUCCUGAUAUUGGUUUAAAAGUUCUCGUUGAUAAAUCAUUCAUAACUUACGAGAAACAGAUAAUUUGCAUGCAUGAUUUGUUUAGAGAACUGGGAAAGAGUAUCGUUAGAGAAAAAUCACCCAAAGAACCAAGAAAGUGGAACAGGUUGUGGGACUACAAAGACGUCCACAAUGUUAUCUCAGAAAACAUGGUAACAUAGUUAUUGAAAUAAAACAAUUGCUUGCCAUUUUUUCCACAAUCGAUUAAUAAAUUUGAAGUAUCUAUACUCUUUAAUUUCAUUUGCAAUACUGUAGGCAACAGAAAACCUUGAAGCCAUGAUGAUGAAGUAUGAUUCAGAAAAGGAUAUAGAAAUACAACAGAUGACAACAUUGAGGGCCGAAGCUUUAGCACAAAUGAGUCGCCUUAAAUUGCUCAGGUUGUUGACGUUUAAUUUCUCAGGAAGUCUCAAUUUUCUUUCAAGUGAAUUGGGGUAUCUACAUUGGGAUAAAUAUCCUUUCACUAGUUUGCCAUCAAGUUUUCAGGCAUAUAAACUUGUUGAACUGAUCCUACGUCAUAGCAACAUUAGGAAACUAUGGGAAGGCACAAAGGUACUAUAGAAAUGGUUAUGAGUCAUUGCUUUUCGUUUUCUGAUGAGCACAAAAAGUUUUUAUCUCACAAUAUUUAUUUAUACUUUCAGUGCAGUUAGUUAAUGAAAUGAAUUAAAGUUAAAGUAUGAUUUUGAAUUUGUCUCUUUCUGUUUUUCAUUGCCUGCAGUCUCUACCUAAUUUGACACGUAUUGAUCUCAGUUACUCAAAGAAUCUUAAUAUGAUGCCAAAUUUUGAGGAGACUCCAAAUCUUGAGAGCCUAGAUCUUGUAGGAUGUAUAAAACUCGUGAAGAUUGAUCCAUCCAUUGGUACAUUAAGGAGGCUUUCCAGAUUAAAUUUGCAAAAUUGUACAAAUUUGGUCAGUAUUCCUAACAACAUUUUUGGUCUGAAUUCUCUCGAACAUUUAGAUCUCUCAGGCUGUCCAAACUUAUUUAAGAAUCUGUUAGAUAUACAAAGCCAAAUAGAACAUCUGGAGAUGCUUGAUAACAAGGAAAUCAGUACCCAAUACCAACCAACAUCCUUCAUCUACAAAUUUCUAAAGCCGCACUUUCGAUAUUUGACUUUUCAAAAACCUGAAGAUUCAGUUGGUUUAUUGUUGCCUUCAUUGUCUCGUUUGUCAUGUUUGCAAUAUCUUGACCUGAGUUUCUGCAAUCUUUUUCAAAUCCCUUAUGCAAUUGGGUUGUUACAUUGCUUAGAAACCCUAUAUUUGGGGGGAAACAAUUUUGUGACACUACCUUCUAGCUUGAAAGAACUUUCCAAACUUAAACAAUUAAACUUGCAGCACUGUAAGCGCCUGAAAUAUUUUCCUGAGCUCCCAUCAAAAACUGUUUUGCCAGUAAGAAAAACAUGUUUUGGUAGAUAUUCAGCUGGGUUAUAUAUAUUUGACUGCCCCAGUUUAGUUGAGAUGGAAAGCUAUUUUGGAAUUGCUUUUUCUUGGAUGAUACAACUUCUUCAGGUCACUACUCCAUCAUUUUUCCUUUUGUCUGUAUUUAUAUAUUUGUUUUUAUGUGAUUGAACCAAUAUAUUUGAUACCAGGUUCACAUGCAAUCCGAGAUCCCAAGGACAGACAUUACAAUUGUUAUUCCCAAAACUCAAAUUCCAAAGUGGUUCACCAAACAAAGUGUAGGCAGUUCAAUAAGCAUCGAUCCAUCAUCCAUUAUGCAUGACAAGUGGUUCACCAAACAAAGUGUAGGCAGUUCAAUAAGCAUCGAUCCAUCAUCCAUUAUGCAUGACAAGAAUUUGAUAGGCAUCGCUUGCUGCUUAACAUUUGUAGCGCAUGAUAAUCCUACUAAUUAUGGUUCACCAAACAAAGUGUAGGCAGUUCAAUAAGCAUCGAUCCAUCAUCCAUUAUGCAUGACAAGAAUUUGAUAGGCAUCGCUUGCUGCUUAACAUUUGUAGCGCAUGAUAAUCCUACUAAUUUAAAGGAAGAACUGUCACCUUAUAUUGGGUUUGGUUUUAAACUUACACAGAGUGGGAUCUAUCGAAUUAUUCCCAUACAUUUUGAAAAAGAUCUGGUCACAGUUGAUUUAGAUCACCUGUUGCUAAUUUUUUUCAGUAGGGAGGAAUUUAUUGAUUUGAUAAGUCGUGCCACAAAGGGAUGGGAUGAUCACGAGGGAUGGGAUGAUAUUAGUGGUAUUGAAUUGAGUGCUACAGUUUAUCAGCCCUUUGGUUUGCACUUGGAGGUAAAAAAUUGUGGUUAUCGUUGGAUAUUUAAGGAGGACCUGGAACAAUUAAACCCACAAAAGAUGUACAAGGGAAAUUCGUCAGUUCAGCCAUAUUAUUGAGCUGAUUGAUAAAAAACUCUGAAAUUUUCUUUUUUAAAGAUGAUUUUUUGUUAGUUUUCUUUUUAUCUAGUGUCAAUAUUAAUGUACAUUGUUAUAGUGAUAACAAUGAACAUGUUUUGAUCAUUGAUUCUCUUUAAUGAGAUAUUACUAAAUGCCAAAGUCUUGGAUAUAUUAAUGGCAAUGUUAAGUUGAAGUUAUUGGUGGUCUAGCUCUUGUAAAUCACCUGACCAUUUUUUGCCUCAAGUACAAACUAUUAAAAUAUUAAGGGUAAUGCUAACUUGUGUUCUAAGGAUAUAAGUUAAAGAGAUAAAUAAAAUAAAAAAUCUUGGAAAUUGUGCGGUUAAUUUAAUACAAACUUAUAUUUAAUGAUUCUAUUAUUUUUUUCAAUAAAUACUUUUUAUUUAUGGAUUUUUUAAAGGACACACGUUAGCAUUAUCAAAAUAUCAAAAUAUCCUUUCCAAAAACAAAUAUAUCCACCCAGGACCGUCCCAAUCAAUUUGGAGGCCCUGUUUUAUUUUAAAAUUAGAUAUUUAAUAGAUGAAAACACAACAAAUUAAAAAAAAAUAUAUUUUAUUUAAUUCUAAAUAAAAUUAAAUAUAUAGAAAUAAAGAUGAUAAAAAAUACUAUGUAGAAAUUUGAUUUAUCGAAGUUUAGUUAUUCGCGUCUUCCUUCUGUUACCAUCUUCGAUUUAUAAAAAAAAGUUCAUAUCAUUUAAUAAAAGACAAAAAUUCUUUGAACAAUUUCCACAAUAUUAAUAAUGAAGUGUUUUAUUUAAUAAACAAUCAACAGUAUAAAAUUAUAAAUUUUCAAAGUCUCACAACUACUAUUUCAAAUUUAUUAAUGCAGUGAUUCACAAUGAUACAAAAAUAUAAAUAUUUUCAAAAUUACAUCUCAAAAUUUUUCAUAGAUCUAUAAAAUGUAUUAAUAAAAGAAAAAAAAAUUAAUUAGGUUAAUUGUGAUAUUAAAUUUUAAAUAAAUUUAAAUAUAAUUUAUUUAGAUUAUCGGCUGCUGGAUAGGAUAUACUUCAAUAUAUUAAUAAAAGAAAAUAUUUAUUAAAUUAAUUGUAAUAUUAAAUUAAAUUUAAAAACAAUGUGGUGUCAUUUUUUUAUAAAAGUAAAAAUAUAUAUAUGUAAGAACAAGGAAUCAAACCUAGGUUGUAUUACUACCAAAAUAGUAUGACCACCGCUAGGCUACACUACAAUCAUAUGUUAAAAUGGAAUUAGUGAUAUAUAUUCGUUAGUCUUAUAUUUAUAUUGACCCUAUCGAUCAAAUUCGGGAUCCUAAAAAGUCGGAGGCCCUGUGCGGUAGCACUUCUCGCACCCCACAGGGCCGCCCCACCAAGCCUUCAUGUUUGACCUUUGUAAUGAUUAGAUCGUUUUUGUUAUUUUUGUUCUGCAAUAGUCAUUUAAGUUACAAAAUAUUUACAACAUUGAACACAAAAUAUCAAUUUAUUAAUGAUAAAUGCUAAUGUAUUAAUUAAGUUAGUAACAUGGACAUCAAACACUGUAUAAUGUCCAUGGCAACACUUAUUGACUCAUCAUCUUCAUCCUCCAAACCAUUAUUUUAAAAACCUAAAUAAUUUACCAUAAAGUAAAAAGAAAAUAGUUGAAGUCAUGAAUUAAAUGACAUUUUUGUUUUAGGUUUAAAAAAUUGUUUUUUCUUAAUUUUUAAAAAUUAAUUUUCAAAAUAUUUCAAUUUUUUUUAAAUUUAAAGAUUAAUUUUGACAUCCUAUAACAUAAACAUACAUUAUUGAAAUAUAAUCGAUAAUUUUUUGAAAUAGUUGUAUUUCAAAAAUGAUUUUUACGAAAUUAAAAUUAAGUGAUUUUUUAAAAUUUUGAUAUUUAAUAAAAUUUCAAUAAAAUAAUUAAAUAUUUAAAAUAAUAUUUUAAAAAUAAAUAUUCAAACCAAAUUUGCAUUCGAAGGUUUUAUGAAAAUUUCUCUGUAAAUUCUUUUACACAAUUAUAUAAAACUAUAACAACCAUUUUAAAAAAAAGUUCAAAACAAACAUCUUUCAACCUUUAGUCAAACGUCAAAAUCACCUUCUUUGCACCAUUUGUUGGAACUAGACAUGGUAAUGAGGCGGAUCAAAGACAUUUUUUUACUUUCCCCAAAUCUAAAUCCAAAUCUCAAAAAAAUUCUCCUUCUCCGUUCCAAUUCUCAUCCGGAUGAAGAAUUAAAACCCAAACUCAUCACAAACAAGUCUGGGUUUGGUUGGGGUGUCCGCGCCUCGCCACUAUCUAUUUAAUGAAAUUAAUUUUUUUUAAUAAAAAUAUUUAUUUUUUCAAAAUCAAAUUAUAUUACAAAUAGUAAAAUAAAACAUUUUAAAAAAAAUUCAUCUGUACAUUUCAAAUAUUUUAAAUAAUAAAUACAAAAAAAAUUAAAAUAUUAAUCACAUAUUUAAUUUUCUAAAUUAUCAAAAUAAAAUAAUAAAAUACAUAAUAAAAUAAAUAAGGCGGGUUCGAGGACGGAUUCAAGGUGACUGCUAAUGUUCCUAUUAUCUGAUCCUUCCCCAUAUUUUAUAAUCAGGGAAAAUCCAAAUCCGUAUAUAAAUCCAGUCAAAACAUAUUUUUUUUUUCGUCAAAUUCGAGGUGGAUUCAUAUUACUACAAAAAGGUGCUUUUAACGUCGGAUGCAAAAUGCAUUUUACCUCGGAUGCAGUAGCGAAGUAACAAAGGACGUCAUGAAAAAUUGCCACAUAUCACCUCAAUGAUUUAAAUAUCAAGGGGUAACAUUAUAUGCGCAUGAGUUCGAACCCCAACAACAACACUUUUAUUAUUUUCAAAACUAUUGUAUCUUAUAUCUCAAUUUAUCUUGAAAACCUAGAGGUAAGAUUACUUUAAAAAAAAAAAUAUUACAUUGUUUACCCAUAAUAUUACAUUGUUUACAUAAAAUAUUAAAAUAAAAAUCCGAGAAUAUUCUCUAGAGAUAUAGAUAAUUAUACAAAGUUAAUACAAAGUUAAUUUGACUAACAUAAUUAAUACAACAAUAUCGACAAUACAUAUAAUAACAUAACAUAAUUAUACACUUUAUUUCAAUCUUUAUUUAAGAAUAAUUUGACUAAAUUAAAAAGUUACAAUAAAAUAAGUUAAACUAAUUCAAACCAAUAUUAAAAUAAUAGAAUAUAAUAACUAAAAUAAAGUUCAAAUAAUUAAGAAUAUAUAAAUUAAAUAAGAUCGAAUAUUAAAAAUAAAUAAUACAUUAUAUUUCAUUAAACAACAAAAAAAUGAAUUUGAGUUGAACUACGACAAACACGUCUUAAUUGACAACAAAAAACAAUAUUGAUUUGAACGACAAAAAAUAUUAUGUUGGAUAUCACUAUGUUUAAAAGAGACGACAUGACGAUGAUGAAAAGUGAUUUAAAGAAAAACUAUAAUGGAGUGACAGAACUUAGAAGUUUGUAUUGUUGUAAAAAAAACAUAGACUUCUUUUUUGUGAUUGGGUAAUAUAUGUUAAAUUUUGAUAUUAAAAUAUUGAAAUUUUAUUUAUUUUUUUAAAAUGGUUAAUUUGAUGCUUUUUUUUAAUCGAGCGAUUUUACAAAAUCGGCUCAGAUUCUUUGGUUCAAAUGGUUUUUACGGUUUUACUCCGGUUUUAAUCCACUAACGAUUUUGAAAGAUUCACCCAACUAGAUUCAUUUUCGGUUCCCAAUCCAACCGGUUGAACCGGCCGGUUCGGUCCGGUUUUUAAAACAUUGGUUUCAAGCGCUUCAUGUUUCAUAUAGGUUAGAUUUUCAAUUUUCAGCAUGCUUUUAUAAUGGAUGUCCCUUAGAUUUCACGUGGAUCACUAAUAGGAGAUUCUUCAGCAUUGAUAAACACUAAAUGGGCGUCAAAGAAUUGUUUAAGGGCAUUGAAUAUAGAAAAAAAAACUUAAAAUUACAUUGUUUACACAAAAUAUUAAAAAUACAUUGUAAAAUCUGUUUCCCAAUGAGAAUUUUUAUUUUCCAUGCCCAGGUCUCAUACAAGACGUUAGAUAUCUGUUUUCCAAUGAGAAUAUUAUUUUCUGCACUUACAAUCCAUCCUAGAGAUAUGUAGUAGCAACUCAUGAUCAAGUGAACGGUGGUGAAUAUCUCUUCCAACAGAUAUUCAUCAAAACUCUUCCAGUUGAUCUCUAGGAUAAAAUGACGUUUAAUGAAUAUCUCUUUGGGGCGGCUACAUAUAAGUUAGUCUGAGGGUAAAAUAUGUUAACGAGUGUUUUUAUAAUAAAGUGUGAUUAUUAAACACCUCGAUUUUAUUAUAAAAUCGAGGUGAAUAAUUCUAUUUUUUUAAUUACAUUGUUUACAUAAAUUAUUAAAAUGCAUUGUUUACAACAAAUCUUCCGUGAUAUCCAGAUUUUGUUGGAUACCCUUUAAAACAAUUUUUUUUGAAACAAGAAAGAUAUUAUGUUCUUGUAAUUUAUCAAAUGAGUACUCUUCAAAGAUUGAACUCCCUUCUUUAACGGAGGGUUAUUCCGAAAAUACAAAAAUGACAACAUCAACAUCAUUAUGUGAGAUACAUUGCAAGGGCAGAAAAAAUAUUUUAUUCAAAAUAGAACAUUGAAGUUUUGUUCUGUCUUGCAAUCCAUCCCAAAUAAUGAUGCUUGCGAGUUUGGGACGACUUAAUAUUAAUAAGGAUUAUGGUAAAAAAAAUUUAACGAGUGCUUUUAUAGAUUUUUUUAAUUAUUUUAUGCCGCGAUUAAAUAGAAAACCGAAGAGUUAGAACAUUUUGUUUACACUUAUAAACAAAUAAAACCAUAAGUUGUGAUAGUUGAGAAUCAAAGCUUGUACUGAGUUGUUUUUUCACCUCGGUGUUAUGAAAAACGAGGGAAUAUAUGGUUUUAUUUUUUAUUUUUUUAAAUAAUAAAAAAUAGCACGCCUUGACUUUAUACUUCAUUUUUCUAUUGUUUGAGCUGAAAGCUUCAUCAUGAAAAGCGUUAUUUAUUGUAGUGUCAACUGAGUAUCCGCGAGUAUGGGUUAUGUUGACAUGCCUAGUUGAAACUCAAUGAUUUAGAGUUAAGGAAUUGUGAAACUCAUUUAUUGGUUUGAAAGUGAAUAUGAUGUUUGCAUCAUAAGAUAAAUGAGACCAUGCGGAAACUAUUUGAAACACAUUAGUAAUUUUUUUGGACUAAAAAUGACAUUCAUUCAAAUUGAUAGAAUACAUUUGAUAAUACAAAUUUAAAAUCACUAUAAACUAAAAAUGAUGCAUCUGCGAACAAACUCACAACAACCACAUUAAUAGCAUAUAACAGCAAAAUGCCCACAAAUGUGACAACAUACAAAUGACGAAAUUGAAAUGCUCGAAAUAUCCAUAUCUCCGAGUUUGCAGCAUUGACAACGUCAAAGUCAUUAAUUAAAUAUGCACCGAGUCAAAACUAAUAUGUUAAUCUGAACCAAACAAACAUCACACCAAAACGAUAAUAACGCACAAUAAGACGACGAAAUUACAGGAACAAAAAUUAAAAAUAUAUGUGAAAUCACUUAUUUAAAUAAAAAGCAAAGGAAAAAUAAUUUAGAGUAGUGAUUUUGAAUAAAAAAUUGACUCUAAAACUACAUCUCUUUAUUAGAUGAAGAAAAAGAAAAAAAGAUAGAGUUGAAGGAAGAAGGGAGGCCACGCUUUGACGCAUUAGUAACUUAAAGAAUUUUUAUACAAAUAUUUUACUUAAAUGGGAAUAUGUCAUACUAUGCAUCACAUUUUUUAUAGUAGGGACAAAGACACAGUCAAAAGUAUCUCAGAGUAAAAUUUUGUAUUUAUUGAUUAAUGAUUUAGGUGGAUGAAACUUUUAUUCAAACGUGACAUUCAUGUCCGACAAAAAAAAGUAUUUUUUUUGGACUUCUGUGUCUGCAUUAUGUUUAUAUAGUAAUGUGACAAUGUGAUUGCUAUGAACAUUUUUGUAUAAUUUAUGAAUUCUGUUUUGUUUUGAUACCUGGUGUAUUUCUGAUUUUAUGAUCUAUUGAUAUUUUCUUGAUGCAUUUUGAUGUCAUGAAAGAUUAUGAUUCCUACAUGCAUUCUUUUCCACAUACAACUAGUUUCCGCACAAUUUUCAUGUACUUCUAUUGCCUGCAUUAUUUUCAUCCACUAACAUAUGAUUUCUUGAUGCAAAUCUAAGCUCGACCAACGGAUCUGCGAUAAAAUUUAUUAGAAGAAAACAUGAUUGUAUGCAUGGUGAGUAUGCAUGAUCAUAAUUAUGGAUGUGCAAGAGUACAUACAUAUGUUGUUAGAGAAGAUAACUAACUCAAAAGUUAGUUAGCUGUAUAUAAGAACUUAAGUCUCACUUUAUAACUCAAUUAGUAAAAUUGCCAUGCAAGCUAAGUUUGUAUGAGUCUCAAUAAUUCAUUCUCUCAUUCAUGAAAGCAUUCACUUAUCUUAAUAUGGUAUUAUAUGCCUAGAAAGGGUCGCUUCCGUUACAACAUCUUCAACCUUAGGAAGUUCUCGACUCAAAUGGAAGGUUGAUAUUUAAGGCUCCAAUGUCUCAGAAUAGAACCUUCAAGAUUGAGCUUAAUAUGAUAGAGCAUAAGUGCCUUGCAACAGAAGCCAACAGAGAUGAAUGGAUAUGGCAUUAUAGACCUAGUCAUCUCAAUUUCAAAGACAUAGGAGAUUUAAAGAGAAGAAAUAUGGUUUCAGGAUUACCAGAAAUCGACAUUCCAAAUGAAGUGUGUGAAGAAUGUGCGCAGGCGAAGCAGCACAAGAACAACUUCAGUAAGGAUGCAGGAAGCAGAUCGAAGACAAUUCUUGAAGUCAUAUAUUCUGAUGUAUGUGGUCCUCUCCAAGUGGAUUUGAUUGGAGGUAACAAAUACUUUAUUACAUUCAUAGAUGAUUUCAGUCGAAAAUUAUGGUCUUACCUGAUCAAGAAGAAAAGUGAAGUGAUUGAGGUAUUUGCCAAGUUUAAAUCUAUGGUCGAAAGACACAACGGUAGAAAGAUCAAGAUUCUGAGGACUGAUGGUGGUGGAGAAUAUGUGUCAAAAGACUUCGAUGCAUUAUGUGUGAAAGAAGGGAUUGUGCAUGAGGUGGUGCCACCCUACACUCCACAGCAGAAUGGAGUCGUAGAAAGGAAGAAUAAAACCAUCAUGAAUAUGGUUAGAAGUAUGUUUAAAGGAAAGCAUCUACCCAAAUAAUUAUCGGGAGAAGUUGUGUCGACUACAACAUAUAUCCUGAACAGAUGUCCGAUGAAGAAGCUAGAAGGAAUCACGCCAGAAGAAUGUUGGUCUGGUGUCAAGCCUAGCUUGAGUCAUCUAAAGGUGUUUGGAUCUAUAGAACAUAGACAUGUGUUAGAUCAGUUGAGAAGAAAACUUGAUGACAAGUCGAAUCAAAUGAUCCUGAUAGGAUAUCAUUCGACUGGAGGAUACAAGUUGUUCGACCCAGUGAAUAAGCAAGUGGUGAUCAGUAGGGACAUGUUCAUAUAUGAGCUUAAGGAGUGGGAUUGGACUGAGAGUGUCAAGAAAGAUUUAGUGAGAAUCUUUUAUGAUGAACCAGCUAGUGAAGUCGAAAGAGAAGUUCAACAGGAAGAAGUCAGAGGUGAAGCAGGCCCAAGCAGACCUCAAAGAAUAAGACACAUGCCUACAAGGUUGAAAGAAUGUGUGAUUACAUUAGAUGAUAUGGUCAAUGAAGAAGGUGAGCUGAUACAUUAUACUUUCUACGCAGAUGUCAAAAGAGUCAAUGCAGCUAAGGCAUUGAAAGAUUCGAAGUGGAUGAAAGCAAUGAAUGAAGAGCUGAAGUCAAUCGAAGUCAACAAUACUUAGUCACUUGUCGAAUUGCCCCAAAAUAAGAAGGCAAUCGAUGUGAAGUGGGUAUACAAGGUGAAGUUGAAUCCCAAAGGAGAAGUGACUCAACACAAGGGGAGGCUUGUGGCGAAAGGAUUUCCUCAGAAAGAAGGAAUCGACUUCGAUUAAGUUUUUGCACCUGUUGCUAGGAUUGAAACAAUCAGGUUGGUUAUUGGUCUAGAAAACAUAAACAACUAGCAGAUGUGUCAUAUGGAUGUGAAAUAUGCAUUCCUUAAUGGCCCCUUAGAAGAAGAAAUUUAUGUUGCACAACCAGCUGGGUUUGUGAAACAAGGCAAAGAAAGAAAGGUGUACAAGCUGCAUAAAGCCCUGUACGGACUUAAACCAGCUCCAAGAGCUUGAAACAAGAAGAUUAAUGGUUUUCUAAGGGAGAAGGAAUAUAUGAAGUGAAAAUAUGAACAUGGAGUAUAUGUAAGAAGAAGCAAUAGUGAAUUGCUUAUAUUAUGCCUCUAUGUUGAUGACCUGUUGAUAACAGGUAGUUGCAAGAAGGAGAUCGAAUACUUCAAAGGUGAUCUUAACAAGGAAUUCGAAAUGUCAGAUCUGGGUGACAUUUCAUAUUUCCUUGGCAUCGAAUUCUACAAGAGUGGCAGAGGUUUGAUGAUGCAUCAAAAAAGGUAUGCAGGCGAAAUACUCAAGAGAUUUGAGAUGCAAGAUUGCAACCCAACUUCGACUCCAGUUGAGCCCAGAUUACAACUGUUUAAAAAUUCAGAUGAAGAUGAUGUCGACCAACCAAAUACAGAAGACUUAUUGGGUCACUUUGAUACCUUUGUCACACAAGGCCUGACUUAUCAUACAGUGUAGGUAUGGUGAGUAGAUUCAUGCAGAUGCCAAAGGUAUCACAUCUAGCAGCGGCGAAGAGGAUACUAAGGUAUCUGAAAGGAACUCUCGACUAUGGAAUUUUGUUUCCCGCAACUUAUGAAGGAAAAGAAUGCAAAUUAUUGGUAUACACCGACUCAAGUUGGUGUAGUGAUGCUGAGGAUCGAAAAUCCACAGUGGGCUAUGUGUUUAUGCUAGGUGGUGCACUAGUUGCUUAGAGUUUGAGAAAGGAGGCAAUAGUGGCAUUAUCGUCAUGCGAAGCAGAAUACAUAGAUGCUUCUCUUUGUGCAUGUCAAGAAAUGUGGAUGGUGAAUCUGGUAGAAGAGAUAAUAGCGAAGAGUCAUGGAGCAAUUACCAUGAAGAUCUACAGCAUGUUAGCUAUCAAUCUGGCGAAGAAUCCGAUAACACAUGGUCGAAGCAAGCACAUAGAGACGAGGUUCAAUUAUCUUCGAGAGCAUGUAGAAUAUGUGAAGAUGAAUGUGGAACACUAUAGAACUGAGAAUCAGAUUGCAGACAUCAUGACAAAGGGAGUGCAUGUCGAGGUGUUUAGAGCACUAAGAACUAUGAUGAAUGUAGAUUUAGACACGACGAAUUAGGUGGUGUAAUGAAUUGUAAUUCCUUGUGUCGAAGCAGGUUUCUCAACAAAACAAGUAAGUGUCAAACCUCCUAGGGUGUUGAGUUGUGUUAGUGUCGAAGUGUUGAAGUUUCGAAGCAUGUUGCUUCACACAUGAUUGAUUGAGAUUCUUCAUAGGUUGUGGUGGAUUUCCAACAAUACCAACCAACUUCUUUCAUCUACAAAUUUAUUAAGUCAAUUUCAAUUAAUUUUCAAUAAAGACAAAUUAUUGAAUAAAAAAAAUGAGGAUAUAAAAUCAAAUUCAUCAAAAGGCGUUAGUUAGACAUGCCCAACCUAUUUUUCAAAACAAAUUCAAAAACACAAAUUACAAGUGAAUCCCAUAAGUGUCAUCAUCAACAAAAAUUAAUAUUGAUUAAUUUAUUUGCACGUACAUUUUUCUUUUUAAAAAUAUAAGAUAUCUUAAAUUUAAAAUUAUAAAAUAUUAUUCAAUUUAAUUAAAAGAUACUAAUGAACGAUAGCACGAAAAGUCAAUAAUAACUUAAUUUCAAGUAAAGAAUUCUCCAAUUCUUAACGUUAGCACCUUCAAUUAAUUUAAAUUAUUACUAAAUUAAUUUAACUAUUACUUAAGCAAACAAAUAAAUUGACGAAUUAAUGUAGUAUACCUGUUACAAUUUCUUUUUGUAUAAUACGAUGCGUUGUUAUGGAAAUAAUAGAAAAAGGUGUCUGUCUAUAUUUGAGAUAGAGGUAUUUUUGUGAAAAAAGAGAGAAUAAAACAUGAUUGUGCGACUUCCAUGCCUUUGGACCAAUCUAAUCCAUCAAAUGAAUAUGGUGAUAUACAUCGAGCCACAUGUGCAACUUUAUUUUUUUAAAAACUUUUUCAAAACAGGGUUGUUCUUCAUCUACCUAAUUUCAUCUUUUCCUAUUUUAACUCAUUUAUAUUAGCUACUUCAGUUUCUUGCAUGAAUUAAUUCCUGAUCAAUUUUAAAUGAUAACACUAAUUAGAUUUCUAAUUCAUAAUAAAUUAAUAGAUUAAAGAGAAUGAUCAAAAUUAACAGUUUUAUUAAAGUUUUGUAAGACCUUAAUUUUUAUACAUCUCAUUCACCUAUCAAAUGAUUUUUAAUUGAUGUUAAAUUUUAUAUAAAUGAUAUAUAUGAUAAUAA
Molecule: long non-coding RNA, 14814 nt
Filed under: Lathyrus oleraceus (garden pea)
Lineage: Eukaryota; Viridiplantae; Streptophyta; Magnoliopsida; Fabales; Fabaceae
Description: Pisum sativum (pea) long non-coding RNA (PSAT_LNC030495)
Source: RNAcentral